This 440-nucleotide ribosomal RNA is filed under the name uncultured bacterium. Its description in RNAcentral is "partial 16S ribosomal RNA". It matches the Rfam family "Bacterial small subunit ribosomal RNA", at positions 338 to 795 of the family's 1533-position model. The record is from RNAcentral.
CCUACGGGAGGCAGCAGUAGGGAAUAUUGCUCAAUGGGGGAAACCCUGAAGCAGCAACGCCGCGUGGCGGAUGAAGGUUUUCUGAUUGUAAACUCCUUUUUUUAGAGAAGUUAAUAACUGUAUCUAACGAAUAAGCACCGUCUAACUCCGUGCCAGCAGCCGCGGUUAUACGUAGGGUGCAAGCGUUACUCGGAAUCACUGGGCUUAAGGAGCGCGUAGGCGGGAUAGCAAGUCAGAUGUUAAAUCCUAUGGCUUAACCAUAGAACUGCAUUUGAAACUGUUAUUCUAGAGUAUGGGAGAGGUAGGUGGAAGUCUUGGUGUAGGGGUAAAAUCCGUAGAGAUCAAGAGGAAUACUGAUUGCGAAGGCGACCUGCUAGAACAUAACUGACGCUGAUGCGCGAAAGCGUGGGGAGCAAACAGGAUUAGAUACCCCUGUAGUC